GGGAGGGGCCGCGCCGCCGCCCUUAUCCGCCCGCGCAGCGCGGCCUGGGGCCCGCGAUAGGGCCGGCCGCCCCCGGCUCCCCGCCCUGGCCCGGCGGCGGCGGGCCCCGGCUGAAGGCGAUGUGUGCGGUAAAUCCCCUUCUUCCACCCGUUGCGCAGCCCCGUUUGGCCGCAGCCGAUGAAGGGUUAACAGCGCGGCUCAGCCCCGGGGCCUCCACAGCUCCCGGCUUCACCUGAGGCGGUCGGGAACUGCAGGGAGUUAGUGUAUGUACAGCUUCAGAAAGGAGCGUGGGCAGAAGGUACACGUCCUGCUACUCAGGGAGAACUACAGACACUUAACAAUACCUUGUACAAACCUGACGUAACAUUUAAAGGCUCGCUGCAGGAAGCAAUGAAAGACACUGGCUAAGACAGACAGUAGAAGAGCACAGACCGGUGGGAUUUCAUCCCGAAGCCUCCAGGUGUUCCAGGCAGCCUGAGCUACAGCUGCACCUCCCCUUGCUGUUACCACUGAGAAACUGGUGCAUCCCAAGGGAGCGGGGAUGGCUCUGCGUGGGUUGGAGGCUGGGGAUGAGCAGAGGGGGACGCCCCCAAACCCUUUCCAUCGCAGUUUUCCUUUCUGGCAGAUUUGCAAAACGGAAUAAAAAUCAAAGCAGUGAAGCAACGCGGCGCAGUUGUGCUGCACCUCGCGUGCCUACGGGCGGUGUAACAACUGAAGGCCCAGCUACUUGUCAGUGUACAUUUUUGCACGUGUGGGACAACAGAGAAAGCUCGUGGGUUUCCUUUCUCUGUUUUUAAAUUCCCUAUCCCCAAAAUGAACCUAGAUUUCACAUGUACACGGGCCUUCCUGAUACUCGCGCUGCAGGGAAUGAACCACAACAGGCAAACGCUGUUCUUCGCACUGCAUCUCUAUACAUACAAAAGUUUUUACACUAUCUACAAAGCAGCGAUUAGAUGUUUAAGUUCUUGCUACUCGUUUAAAAAUACUAGAGGAAAAAAAAAAAACUGUACAGUUUCCUAAAUUACAUCUUUA
Long non-coding RNA from Numida meleagris (helmeted guineafowl), 1032 nucleotides. RefSeq lists it as uncharacterized. The record is from RefSeq and is a predicted model, not a curated record. The transcript has 3 exons. NCBI's taxonomy places the organism in Eukaryota, Metazoa, Chordata, Aves, Galliformes, Numididae.